This 253-nucleotide ribosomal RNA is filed under the name uncultured prokaryote. RNAcentral describes it as "partial 16S ribosomal RNA". It matches the Rfam family "Bacterial small subunit ribosomal RNA", at positions 524 to 776 of the family's 1533-position model. The record is from RNAcentral.
UACAGAGGGUGCAAGCGUUGUUCGGAAUUAUUGGGCGUAAAGGGCGCGUAGGCGGUGCGGUAAGUCACCUGUGAAAUCUCCGGGCUUAACUCGGAGCCUGCAGGCGAAACUACCGUGCUGGAGUGUGGGAGAGGUGCGUGGAAUUCCCGGUGUAGCGGUGAAAUGCGUAGAUAUCGGUAGGAACACCAGUGGCGAAGGCGGUCUCCUGGGGCACUCUUGACGCUGAGGCGCGAAAGCUGGGGGAGCGAACGGG